Molecule: ribosomal RNA, 632 nt
Filed under: uncultured fungus
Lineage: Eukaryota; Fungi
Description: eukaryotic LSU rRNA
Rfam family: 5.8S ribosomal RNA (bases 246-400)
Source: RNAcentral
AAGUCGUAACAAGGUUUCCGUAGGUGAACCUGCGGAAGGAUCAUUACCGAGUUAGGGUGCCUCGUCGCGCCCGACCUCCAACCCUUUGCUUACUUGACCUAUUUUGUUGCUUCGGCAGGCCCGCCGCCCGGAAACGGGUGGCCGCCGGGGGCGUUUCACCGCCCCGGGCCCGCGCCUGUCGAUGGCCCUAUUAAAACUCUUGUCAAAACGUGUCGUCUGAGUUUAUCUAAACAAAUAAAAACCAAAACUUUCAACAACGGAUCUCUUGGUUCUGGCAUCGAUGAAGAACGCAGCGAAAUGCGAUAAGCAAUGCGAAUUGCAGAAUUCCAGUGAGUCAUCGAAUCUUUGAACGCACAUUGCGCCCUUUGGUAUUCCGAAGGGCAUGCCUGUUCGAGCGUCAUUAUCACCCCUCAAGCCCUCGGCUUGGUGUUGGACGGUUUGGUGGAGGCCCCCUCGGGGGCUCCUGCCCCUCCCAAAGACAAUGACGGCGGCCUCGUUGGACCCCCGGUACACUGAGUUCUUCACGGAACACGUAUCGGACACAUGGGUUUACGGGACACGGUCUGCCUCCCCUCAGGGAGAAUCUUUCUAAGGUUGACCUCGGAUCAGGUAGGGAUACCCGCUGAACUUAA